RNAcentral lists this ribosomal RNA (253 nucleotides) under uncultured bacterium. RNAcentral's name for it is "partial 16S ribosomal RNA". It matches the Rfam family "Bacterial small subunit ribosomal RNA", at positions 524 to 776 of the family's 1533-position model. The record is from RNAcentral.
UACGUAGGGUGCGAGCGUUGUCCGGAAUUAUUGGGCGUAAAGAGCUUGUAGGCGGUUUGUCGCGUCUGCUGUGAAAUCUCAAGGCUCAACCUUGAGCUUGCAGUGGGUACGGGCAGACUAGAGUGUGGUAGGGGAGACUGGAAUUCCUAGUGUAGCGGUGAAAUGCGCAGAUAUUAGGAGGAACACCGGUGGCGAAGGCGCUGCUCUGGGCCGAAACUGACGCUGAGGAGCGAAAGCGUGGGUAGCAAACAGG